This 550-nucleotide ribosomal RNA is filed under the name uncultured bacterium. RNAcentral describes it as "bacterial SSU rRNA". It matches the Rfam family "Bacterial small subunit ribosomal RNA", at positions 355 to 896 of the family's 1533-position model. The record is from RNAcentral.
UAGGGAAUCUUCGGCAAUGGACGGAAGUCUGACCGAGCAACGCCGCGUGAGUGAAGAAGGUUUUCGGAUCGUAAAGCUCUGUUGUAAGAGAAGAACGAGUGUGAGAGUGGAAAGUUCACACUGUGACGGUAUCUUACCAGAAAGGGACGGCUAACUACGUGCCAGCAGCCGCGGUAAUACGUAGGUCCCGAGCGUUGUCCGGAUUUAUUGGGCGUAAAGCGAGCGCAGGCGGUUAGAUAAGUCUGAAGUUAAAGGCUGUGGCUUAACCAUAGUAGGCUUUGGAAACUGUUUAACUUGAGUGCAAGAGGGGAGAGUGGAAUUCCAUGUGUAGCGGUGAAAUGCGUAGAUAUAUGGAGGGACACCGGCGGCGAAAGCGGCUCUCUGGCUUGUAACUGACGCUGAGGCUCGAAAGCGUGGGGAGCAAACAGGAUUAGAUACCCUGGUAGUCCACGCUGUAAACGAUGAGUGCUAGGUGUUAGACCCUUUCCGGGGUUUAGUGCCGUAGCUAACGCAUUAAGCACUCCGCCUGGGGAGUACGACCGCAAGGUUG